MicroRNA precursor from Equus caballus (horse), 143 nucleotides. Ensembl annotates it as eca-mir-3200. NCBI's taxonomy places the organism in Eukaryota, Metazoa, Chordata, Mammalia, Perissodactyla, Equidae. The record is from Ensembl.
CACCGACCGAGAGAGACAGAAAAGGAGGCGGUCGAGGGAAUCUGAGAAGGCGCACAAGGUUUGUGUCCAAUACGCUCCACACCUUGCGCUACUCAGGUCUGCUCGUGCCCUCCCAUGGUAUCAGCUCUCCUGCGAUGUGGGGA